AUCGAGGUGGCUGAGGUGGUCAAAGGCGCCGGGCUUAAGAUCCGGUCCCAGAUGGGUUCGAGGGUUCAAAUCCCUCCCUCGAUA
This is a non-coding RNA of Euryarchaeota archaeon TMED103, 84 nucleotides long. The record is from Rfam. NCBI's taxonomy places the organism in Archaea, Methanobacteriati, Methanobacteriota.